CAGAGCAAACAGAAGGAGAAGAGAUUUUCACAGGACUCACAGUCUACUUUUUGUAAUUCAGAUUCCCAUGUGACAUCGGAAUUUUAAAAGGCAAGAAAAGAUAUUUCUAUACUAGUUUCACAUUUUCCAAUUUUUCUUCUGCCAAGUCUUAAUGUCCCCGAGUAUUUCUUAAGGUACAAAUCUCCUGCAUAUGAUGAAAAGAGCUUCGAUAGUUGGAAAACUAGACCAUCAUUUGUGUUCGUAUGAGUAGAAUUUUCCCGGGAACAAUACAUGCCACCCUAAUAAGAUGCUACGUGGGGAAUCUCUUUGAAAAACAUAAAGUCCUCUACUGCAAAUAUAAGGUGGCAUUAUUAUUUUGUCCUACAAUUAUCCUGUCAAGAGUCCAACUCAAAAGGAAACCUAGAUUUGAGGGUUGUGCGAAGAUGAAAAUAUGAAUCUUUGGAAGACACACAGAUUGAUUUCUAUCGGCAAAUGAAAAGUCUACAUGUGAAGAAAUAAUCAGGCGUACGAUAUGGGAGUAGAGGUGAUGGAUUGCUGCUGAAAUAUUCAGAUUAUUAUGAAGAAUGAAAUGCACCCCAGAACCUGCUUCAGACUUUUCAAGGACGUCCCUGCUCCUAUGGCUGUAGGCCUACACACCCUGAAUGCAGAGAAAGGAAAUACCUGACUUCCAAGAGACCUGGAACAAUUCUCCCAGAAAGAGGAAGCUUCUUGAAAUCUCACCUUUAAUUUAAAAAUUCAAGCAACUUCAAUGAAACACCGGGACACCUGCACCCUGAUAUUUAUAGCAGCAAUGUCCACAAUAGCCAAACUGUGGAAGGAGCCCCAGUGUCCAUCGAAAGAUGA
This is a long non-coding RNA of Canis lupus familiaris (dog), 843 nucleotides long. RefSeq lists it as uncharacterized. NCBI's taxonomy places the organism in Eukaryota, Metazoa, Chordata, Mammalia, Carnivora, Canidae. The record is from RefSeq and is a predicted model, not a curated record. The transcript has 3 exons.